UACCUGAAACCUUCCAUCCAUCAUGCUUUGU
RNAcentral lists this non-coding RNA (31 nucleotides) under Rattus norvegicus (Norway rat). The record is from RNAcentral. Lineage: Eukaryota; Metazoa; Chordata; Mammalia; Rodentia; Muridae.